AAUUAUAUUUUUGGUCUAUAUUUAAAUAAAACCUGAACCGACACCCGAAACCAAGAACAAAACCAAAAUCAGAUAAAAACAUAAUAUAUAAAAUACAAUUUUUAUAUAUUUUUUAGUAAUUAAUAUAUAUUAAUAAUUUAAUUUAAUAUUUAUAUAUUAAAUACUCAAAUUUAGAUUUACAAAAAUUCUUUUGAAAUACCUAUUA
This 205-nucleotide long non-coding RNA is filed under the name Ananas comosus (pineapple). Its description in RNAcentral is "long non-coding RNA (ACOM_LNC009358)". Lineage: Eukaryota; Viridiplantae; Streptophyta; Magnoliopsida; Poales; Bromeliaceae. The record is from RNAcentral.